Long non-coding RNA from Bos indicus x Bos taurus (hybrid cattle), 1438 nucleotides. NCBI's taxonomy places the organism in Eukaryota, Metazoa, Chordata, Mammalia, Artiodactyla, Bovidae. The record is from Ensembl.
UCCUUAGGAUGCAGAGACCACCAACAUACUCCUUCCUGACUUCAUUGUACCCAACUGGGAUGACAUAAGGGCUUCCCACGUGGCGCUAGUGUUAAAGAACCCUCCUGCCAGUGCAGAGGAGAUAAGAGACGCGGGUUCGAUCUUCUUGGGAAGAUCCCCUGAAAGAGGGCAUGGCCACCCACUCCAGUAUUCUUGCCUGGAGAAUCCCAUGGACAGAGGAGCCUGGCGGACUACGGUCCAUGGGGUCACAGAGUCAGACACGAUGGAAGCAACGCAGCACACAUGCCCACAAGAUGACAAUAAAUAAGGCCGUUCUGUUUCCAGGACACCCAAAGCAUCUCAGGAAGUGUCAGAAGAUUCUCAGAGAGGGUUGUUGAGAGGCGGUGCAGGACCCAGAGGGAGAACAGACGAAAGCUGAAUUUCGCUGACGUGGAGAUGACCUGGGAGCCAAAGAUCUGACUUCGGUUCCUGGUUUUUGCCCCUUCCCGCCUCUUGGGCUUGACUCUUUUCUUUCUCUUGUCCUCUGAGGCCUCAGUUUCCCCGCCUGAGAUGUGCAGCCAGAACAAUUUGCUAAUCCACCGCCCAUGGAUGCGCGGAAAAAAUAUUUUGAAUUCCCACCAUCUUUUUUUCCUUUGAAUGAACUUGUUUAUCCGCUGGUCAGGGUCAGAGAGGGUCGAGGAGGAGGAGCAGCGAGGGGAGUGCCAUCCAGCUAAGCUGACAUGACGCGUUGGAAGGUCAGAGCCCACGGACCCCUGGACAGAGGGCCGUGUUGUUGGGCUUCGGAGUGCCCUUCUGGAAGCCAGUGGCCGGGUCUGAUGCAAGCGUGCCAGGAACUCCUGGGCCUGAAGAUUGGCCUGCGUCAGACAGAGCAGAAGGCAGGCCCGGCUCCUGUCACCAAAAUCGGAUUUUCUUGCCCAUACAUGGCUUGGAGCAGCCUGACUCAGCCCCGUGGAAUGAUGGCAGGGAUUUAUUCCCACUCAUCUGGAGGUAAACUCAUUUUUACCAGGGCCAUUCAACCACUGAAUCAGAGAGGAAGGGAGGAGGGAAGCAAGUUGUUUCUUGCUCAUGCAAAAGGAGGUUCCUGCUGAGUGACCUGCCUUUUCUGAGGUCCUGAGCCAAGUCUCUGAAUCACUUAGAAUCCAUUUCUACAAAGGGUCGUCUUUGUAAAUUUCAUUCCGGAUGUAACCACCUUAACAACGCUUCCCAUUGAACUCGGUUGCCGGGAAGGCAAGGAGCCCGAGACUCGCUCUCUCUUUGUUAAAAAAUAUUAGUAAGCAUUGGAGAGGUGUUAGAGACAGAUCGACAUCGAGUUGAAGCUUUCUCCUUGAUGAAGUUGGAAGAAAAUGAAAGCGGAAGCGAAGUCAACAUGGAAUGAGUUUCCUUCCGAUCGUGGGAAGCCACACAGAACAGCAUGUGGUGGUUCGGAUGGAGAUGCUGG